AUGUGGGUGCUGGGCAUGGCGUCCUGCGCCGUGCUCUCCUUCCUCAACCAGUUCUUCUGGUACCGCAAGGAGCCGCUCACCAUCACCGCCAUCUCCGCGCAGAUCACCGUCGUGCCGCUCGGCCGCCUCAUGGCCGCGGCGCUGCCAGAGCGGGCCUUCCUCCGCGGCUCGCGCUGGGAGUUCACCCUCAACCCAGGGCCGUUCAACGUGAAGGAGCACGUGCUGAUCACCAUCUUCGCCAACGCCGGCGCCGGCACCGUCUACGCCAUCCACGUGGUCACCGUCGUCCGCGUCUUCUACGGCAAAAACCUCACCUUCUUCGUCUCCCUCCUCGUGGUGCUCACCACGCAGGUGCUCGGGUUCGGGUGGGCGGGGAUUUUCCGGCGGUACCUCGUGGAGCCGGCGGCCAUGUGGUGGCCGUCCAACCUCGUGCAGGUCUCCCUCUUCAGGGCACUCCACGAGGAUGAAAGGCGGCGAAAAGGGGGCUUCACGCGCAACCAGUUCUUCCUGGUGGCGUUCGCCUGCAGCUUCGCAUACUACGCCUUCCCAGGCUACCUGUUCCAGAUGCUCACCUCACUCUCCUGGAUCUGCUGGGUGUUCCCCAACUCAGUGUUCGCCCAGCAGCUCGGCUCAGGUCUCCACGGGCUCGGCAUCGCCGCAAUCGGCCUUGACUGGGCAUCCAUCUCCAGCUAUCUAGGAAGCCCUCUCGUCAGCCCCUGGUUCGCCACUGCGAAUGUCGCUGCAGGCUUCUUCAUCGUCAUGUACAUCAUCGUGCCUAUUGGGUACUGGUUUGAUUUCUACAAGGCGCAGACCUUCCCCAUCUUCUCUUCCGGUCUUUUCACCUCCGGCGGGCAGAAGUACAACAUCUCAGCUAUCGUGGACGACAAUUUCCAUCUAGAUACAGAGGCAUAUGAGAAAAACGGUCCACUGUACCUCAGCACUCUCUUUGCUGUCACAUAUGGUAUCGGUUUCGCGUCACUUACCGCGACGAUUGUUCAUGUCCUCCUGUUCCAUGGAAGGGAAAUUUUGCAGCUAAGCAGAUCAGCUUUUCAAGGGAAAAGUGUGGACAUACAUACAAAGCUAAUGAGGAGAUACAAGCAGGUCCCUGAGUGGUGGUUCAUCUGCAUCCUUGUAGUUAACAUUGCCUGUCACUGUAUUCGCUUGCGAAUACUACAUAGAGCAGCUCCAGCUGCCCUGGUGGGGUGUGUUACUUGCAUGCGCCAUUGCAUUUUUCUUCACCCUCCCAAUUGGAAUUAUCACAGCAACAACAAACCAGGUAAGGAUUCUAUCAACUUUCAUCACGGCAUGCCAUACGUAUCUGAAGCACCAAAUCCACAACUCACAUUCUUCCACUGUAUGCAGACCUCAGGACUGAACAUCAUCACAGAGUACAUCAUCGGGUACUUGUACCCCGGACGACCCGUCGCAAAUAUGUGCUUCAAGGUAUACGGUUAUAUCAGCAUGCACCAAGCUCUGAUGUUUCUGCAAGAUUUUAAGUUGGGCCACUACAUGAAGAUUCCCCCAAGGACCAUGUUUAUGGCUCAGGUGGUCGGAACAACGAUCGCGGCAUUCGUGUACCUUGGGACAGCAUGGUGGCUGAUGGACACAAUCCCCAACAUCUGCGACAUUGAGCUACUCUCAGCGGGCAGCCCUUGGACCUGCCCCGGUGAUCAUGUGUUCUAUGACGCGUCGGUCAUAUGGGGUCUUAUUGGCCCGCGCAGAAUAUUCGGGGACUUGGGAACUUACGCGGCAGUGAACUGGUUCUUCUUGGGGGGAGCCGUCGCCCCGCUCCUCGUAUGGUUAGCGCACAGGGCAUUCCCAGGCCAGAACUGGAUCGUACUCAUCAACAUGCCCGUGAUGCUGGGUUCCAUCUUCCAGAUGCCACCCGCCACAGCAGUUAACUACACCACAUGGAUACUGAUUGGGUUUCUAUCAGGUUAUGUGGUAUAUAGAUAUCGACGUGACUGGUGGGAGCGACACAAUUAUCUGCUUUCAGGUGCACUAGAUGCUGGUUUGGCAUUCAUGGCCGUGUUAAUUUACCUGUGCCUAGGCUUGGAGAACAUCAGUUUGAACUGGUGGGGAAAUGACUUGGAUGGAUGUCCCUUGGCUUCUUGCCCCACUGCUAAAGGUAUAGUUGUCAAGGGCUGCCCAGUGUACAACUAA
RNAcentral lists this ribosomal RNA (2163 nucleotides) under Triticum aestivum (bread wheat). Its description in RNAcentral is "partial small subunit ribosomal RNA". Lineage: Eukaryota; Viridiplantae; Streptophyta; Magnoliopsida; Poales; Poaceae. The record is from RNAcentral.